UACGUAGGGGGCAAGCGUUAUCCGGAUUUACUGGGUGUAAAGGGCGUGUAGGCGGGCUUGCAAGUCAGAUGUGAAAUUCCAUGGCUCAACCGUGGAACUGCAUUUGAAACUGUAGGUCUUGAGUGCUGGAGAGGCAAUCGGAAUUCCGUGUGUAGCGGUGAAAUGCGUAGAUAUACGGAGGAACACCAGUGGCGAAGGCGGAUUGCUGGACAGUAACUGACGCUGAGGCGCGAAAGCGUGGGGAGCAAACAGG
RNAcentral lists this ribosomal RNA (253 nucleotides) under uncultured bacterium. RNAcentral describes it as "partial 16S ribosomal RNA". It matches the Rfam family "Bacterial small subunit ribosomal RNA", at positions 524 to 776 of the family's 1533-position model. The record is from RNAcentral.